UACAGAGGUGGCAAGCGUUGUUCGGAAUUACUGGGCGUAAAGGGCGCGUAGGCGGUUCGUUAAGUCCUGUGUGAAAUCCCCCGGCUCAACUGGGGAACUGCACAGGAAACUAGCGGGCUUGAGUUCGGGAGAGGGAAGCGGAAUUCCGGGUGUAGCGGUGAAAUGCGUAGAUAUCCGGAGGAACACCGGUGGCGAAGGCGGUAUCCUGGACCAACACUGACACUGAUGAGCGAAAUCCACAGGAGCAAACGGG
Molecule: ribosomal RNA, 253 nt
Filed under: uncultured bacterium
Lineage: Bacteria
Description: partial 16S ribosomal RNA
Rfam family: Bacterial small subunit ribosomal RNA
Source: RNAcentral